RNAcentral lists this ribosomal RNA (429 nucleotides) under uncultured bacterium. RNAcentral describes it as "bacterial SSU rRNA". It matches the Rfam family "Bacterial small subunit ribosomal RNA", at positions 355 to 776 of the family's 1533-position model. The record is from RNAcentral.
UGGGGAAUUUUGGACAAUGGGCGCAAGCCUGAUCCAGCAAUGCCGCGUGCAGGAUGAAGGCCUUCGGGUUGUAAACUGCUUUUGUACGGAACGAAACGGUCCUUUCUAAUACAAGGGGCUAAUGACGGUACCGUAAGAAUAAGCACCGGCUAACUACGUGCCAGCAGCCGCGGUAAUACGUAGGGUGCGAGCGUUAAUCGGAAUUACUGGGCGUAAAGGGCGCGUAGGCGGCCUACCAAGUCAGGCGUGAAAGCCCCGGGCUUAACCUGGGAAUUGCGCUUGAGACUGGUAAGCUUGAGUUCGGGAGAGGUGAGUGGAAUUCCCAGUGUAGAGGUGAAAUGCGUAGAUAUGCGGAGGAACACCGAUGGCGAAGGCAGUCCCCUGGACCUGUACUGACGCUCAUGCACGAAAGCGUGGGGAGCAAACAGG